AACUAGUCAACUAUGUUCCAUAACGCUACAUUUGAGAAUGCUAAUGACAUUUCAUUUUCGUUCCAAUUAUUUUGAAAAAAUAUUUUCAGAAUGGAAUAUCUACUAUUUUAGAAUGGAAUAUCUAGAAUAUGUCUUUUUUAGUCACCAUUCAUUAAUGAAAAUAAGCUUGUUCCAUCUAGAGAUGAUAUUUUUAUGUAUUAUUUCUUUGAUGACUUCAACUAUCUUGUAUCCUUCUUUCUGAAAUUUCUAAUUUUUUAUUUGUCUUUUAUUAUAGUAAUCUACUUACUAUUUUUAUGCAUUGUUGGAGGCACAAUUUUACUUUCCAUGCUCAUAAGUGAAUUUGUUUUUUCUGUCACAACUACAAAAAUACAAGCAGUGUAUCUUGCUUUUGGAUACCUCUUAGUUGGUAGCAUCAUAUAUAUAUUUAAAAUUCUAUGUUAGAAAACCUCAAAUGCUUAACCAUAUUCAGUUUUCUUUACUUUUCAAGUCAAUGAAGAAUUCUACUUUCUCAUUUCCUUUGGAGAUAAACCAUGUGAUUACAUUUGCAAGUGGGCUAUAUUGACCACCGGUGUGUUUCCCCUUUGUUUUUGAACUGAACAUUUAGUUCUUGAUGAAGAACUUCUCAAUAUUGUCAUUUCCCACCCAGGUGAUGAAAAAUCAUGUAUGUACGGGUGUUGAGCUAUAGGAUGCUGGCAGUUGUAUCAGUAUGGGUACUCUGUGAGCUAAGAGUCAUCUGCAUACCAACUGAACUUUCAAGCAGUACUGUAUCAUACAACUACUACUUCUUCUCCUUCUUCUACUGCCCCACUACUACACUACCACUAGUAUCACGGCAAUAUUAAAUGAUAAUAAUAAGAAUAAUACAUACAUGCAUUUUCAUUUUCUUAAGCCACUGACAUUUUUUGUUUGUUUUAUUUUGUUGCUGUUGUUUGCCUACAAGAGUGGUAUCCAGUUUCUCCUGAAAGAUCCAAAUUCAAUACUGUUUAUGAUCUCCCUGGGGACUUAUAUUUGUUUGCUUAAUUUUAGUUGUGCUCUUCACACUGACUUUUGUAGCCUUUAAAUAAUCUUAUUUUUUGUUUAUGUUUAGUGUAUGUCUUCUCUUUGGUGGCAUUUCCUGAAUGCUUAGUAGGCUUGGGUUUUCUUGGUCAUGAAUUUAAAAGAAAUUAAUAGCCUAUUGUUAGCUAUAUGUUUGAGGUCUGCACUCCUGAGGGACCGGGUUAAUUUUUUCCCUCAUUAUAAGCUCUCUAAAUGUCCAAGUUCAUUUACUUCUUUGAAAAAUUUCAGGUUAAAAAAAAAAAUCAUGCCCCCCCCCUUUUUUAGCUGUAUACAAUUAACUGCUAAUGUUUUGGUACUAGAAUUUGGGAAGCUAUGUUUCUUGGUAUUGUGGAGAAGAUUUCAGUUUAAUCCAGCAUCUCUCAGGUUUACAUGUUCCAGAGAUUAAGUAUCAGGGCUCCUUUGGGUUUGGGAGGAGUAGAUCAGUUGUAUCAAUUAGAGAGGUAUUUAGGAAGAUUAAUUCCUCCACAUACAUAAUUCCAAAUCAUCACAAUCUGUGCAAUUUUUGAUAUCUCUUUUUGGAAUUUCCAUAGAACUGUCUUGUUCCUGAUCAUUAUUGUUUUGUGCACUUUUUAAUAUUUAUCUUCUUUCUAAAACACUGAGCUUCUGCCUGCCAUUUAUUUUUUUUCCUAUUUUCUUCCUCUUGUGAGUAUGCACUUUCUAUUACCAUUAUUUUUCUAUCAUAUUAAUAAUGUUUGAAGAGAGAAUAUGGUAAAUGCACACAGACAUGUAAAUAUGCUUUAAUUCUAAAUUUCUGAAGCAAUCCCUUUAUAUGUAUGUAUAUGUUCAUUGUCUUAUCCUGAAGAAGCCCUUUUUUCAGGUUAAAAGACAAUACUAAUAGGAAAGAUAAUAACUACAAUUUAUUAAAUGCCUAUUAUGUCUGUUCUUUUAAAAAUAUUUUAUGUGCAAUUCAUCAAGUAAUCUUAGUCACCAGGUAGUACUUUGCUACCCUACAUAUCUGAGUUAAGUACCUUAUCUAAGGUUAAGAUUAAAAAGUUAGUAAGUACAACAUAUAUCUAAGUCUGUCCUAUUCCAAUAUUCUUUGCAAUAUGUUGGAUUUAGUGAAAAGAACAUCAGUGGCAAAUAAUGAAGAGAGGAAUAUAUUCAGUAAGAACAGCCUGUUAACCAAAUCAUCAGUUAUUUUACUUAAAAAUUACAUAGACAUAUUGACAUAGGUUGUUAUAUUAGAGUUCAAAUGAACAUUAUUUGCUGGCAAAGAAAAACUGCAGGUUAAAUAUACAAAAGUUUAAUACUAAAGAAUCAAAACAAAGAAUGAAUUGAGUAUUUGCUAAAAAUGUUAACCAGAGAAAAUACUGGAGUGAUAACAAAUUAUUGGUUAAUAUUUUCAUGAAAUAGGGAAGUUUUAAUCUUCUAUAAUAUUUAGAAGGGGAGUCAUCAAGAGAUGAUGGAAAUAAAUAAAUUAGUAUUCUAUAUAGAUAAAAAUCUUACACAUACAACUGUAUACACAUACAUGAAUAUAAAUGUCUCAUUCUCAUAAUAUUCAGAUAUUAUGACAUUAUAAUAUAACCACUGUAGUUUUAUUCUGUGCUUAUCUUAAAUUUCAACAUAUUUUCCAAAGUUGCACAGACAUAAAUUUUGAUAACAUCAAUUUUGUAUUAAAAUAUUUAUUCAGGAGUUCCCGUUGUGGCGCAAUGGUUAACGAAUCCGACUAGGAACCAUGAGGUUGCGGGUUCGGUCCCUGCCCUUGCUCAGUGGGUUAAUGAUCUGGCGUUGCCGUGAGCUGUGGUGUAGGUUGCAGAUGCGGCUCGGAUCCCACGUUGCUGUGGCUCUGGCGUAGGCCAGUAGCUACAGCUCCGAUUAACCCCUAGCCUGGGAACCUCCAUAUGCCGUGGGAGCGGCCCAAGAAAUAGCAAAAAGACAAAAAAAAAAUUAUUCAUAUUUCUUAUGAAGAUAAUGAUGUACUUUUAAAAAAUUCAUCUGAAUUCAUGUGAAGUCAAUGAGGGCUGAUUUGAGGUGAUAUCUCAUUGUACUUUUGAUUUGCAUUUCUCUAAUAAUUAGUGAUGUUGAGCAUCAAAAGAAAAAAUAAAAAAUAAAACAUUCACUUGAAUAGUAAAGAAAACUUUAUUUAUUGAUACCAUGUUAACUAAUUAUUAACCUCUAUUUUUUCCUGUUUGGAUGAUGAUUAAAAAUAGUGCUUACCAUCGAAGACUUUGUUCUUUUUUUGUUGAAAGUGAAGAGAUAGUGUCAUGAAAUUUAAGAAAAAAAGGACAAUUGCACUGAAAGUGAAUCAAACUACUCUAUUGUUUGAUGAAAUGGCACCCUAAUCAUCCAACCAUCUCUUCCUUUGACAUCUAGAAGUCUUCAUUGUAUGCCCAAUGACGAAUGCUUUGUUCAGACUGAACACUUUAAGCUGCUGAAAGUAAGGGCAGCUGCCAUUUUUAUGCUUAUGUGGCCUUACACAAAACCCCUUCUGUUGUUUGCCUGACAGAGGAGCAUAAAUCUCUUCUUUCAGCAGAAAGCCUCUGUUGAGAGUUUAAACUUCAAGUCUCUUUGCCAAACAAUGCCUCAUCCAUGAUCAAAGUAAAGCAGGGGUUUGACAUUCAAGUUCAUGUUUAGCAUCCACAGCCAAUAUUGAAAGGAAAAGG
Molecule: long non-coding RNA, 3659 nt
Filed under: Sus scrofa (pig)
Lineage: Eukaryota; Metazoa; Chordata; Mammalia; Artiodactyla; Suidae
Description: lncRNA (ENSSSCG00000061191.1)
Source: RNAcentral